CUCAGUCAGCACAAACCAUGGACAUGAGGGCUCCUGCUCAGCUCUUGGGGCUCCUGCUGCUCUGGAUCUCAGGAGCCAGAUGUGACAUCCAGAUGACCCAGUCUCCACCUUCACUGUCUGUUUCUCCAGGAGACAGAGUCACAAUCACUUACCAAGCCAGUGAGAAUAAUUAUAACAGUUUACACUGGUACAAACAGAAACCAGGGGAAGCUCCUAAGCUCCUGAUCACUUAUGUAUCAAAUUUACAACCUGGAGUUCCAGCCAGGUUCAGUAGCAGUGGGUAUGGGACAGAGUUCACUCUCACCAUCAGCAGCCUGCAGCCUGAAGAUGCUGCUACUUAUUACUUUCAACAAAGUACUACUUACCCUCCCACAGUGAUACAAGUCAUAGCAUAA
This is a non-coding RNA of Dipodomys ordii (Ord's kangaroo rat), 395 nucleotides long. The record is from the annotation of a RefSeq genome assembly. NCBI's taxonomy places the organism in Eukaryota, Metazoa, Chordata, Mammalia, Rodentia, Heteromyidae.